CACUGGAGCGUUACAGAUGUACUUCAGAGAGCUGCGCUCUCUUCCACGACUUCAUCAGCGCAAUCAAGAGUCCAGACUACAAGCAGCGGGUUCAGUCCAUUAAAGAUCUGGUCCGACAGCUUCCCGUCUGCAACCACGACACCAUGCAGACUCUCUUCAAGCACCUCAGGAAGGUGAUCGAGCACGGCGAGGAGAACCGUAUGACCACUCAGAGCGUGGCCAUCGUGUACUGCG
This is a long non-coding RNA of Gymnodraco acuticeps, 234 nucleotides long. RefSeq lists it as uncharacterized. The transcript is spliced from 3 exons. Lineage: Eukaryota; Metazoa; Chordata; Actinopteri; Perciformes; Bathydraconidae. The record is from RefSeq and is a predicted model, not a curated record.